Molecule: non-coding RNA, 107 nt
Organism: Erinaceus europaeus (western European hedgehog)
Lineage: Eukaryota; Metazoa; Chordata; Mammalia; Eulipotyphla; Erinaceidae
Source: Rfam
GUGCUCGCUUUGGCAGUACAUAUACUAAAAUCAGAACAAUACAGAGAACAUAAGGAUAGCCCUUGUGCAAGGAUAACACACAAAUUUGUAAAGAAUUCCAUAUUUUU